RNAcentral lists this ribosomal RNA (258 nucleotides) under uncultured bacterium. Its description in RNAcentral is "partial 16S ribosomal RNA". It matches the Rfam family "Bacterial small subunit ribosomal RNA", at positions 96 to 354 of the family's 1533-position model. The record is from RNAcentral.
CGGCGGACGGGUGAGUAACGCGUGGGUAACCUGCCUUACACAGGGGGAUAACAGUUAGAAAUGACUGCUAAUACCGCAUAAGACCCCGGUACCGCAUGGUACAGAGGUAAAAACUGAGGUGGUGUAAGAUGGACCCGCGUCUGAUUAGGUAGUUGGUGAGGUAACGGCUCACCAAGCCGACGAUCAGUAGCCGGUCUGAGAGGGUGGACGGCCACAUUGGGACUGAGACACGGCCCAGACUCCUACGGGAGGCAGCAG